UUAGGAUCUGGAUCCUGCCCUCGUCGUGUCACAAUUGCCAUCUCAGCUGCUUUCUGGGCUCUGCAUCCCUCUUGUUGCCUCUUUAGGUGGUACUGAUCCAGUAAGAAACAAAAUUACCUUACCAGAGCAUUAGACAUCUGUUUCCAUGGAAACAGAGAAGGAUGGGAGAGAAGCACUGGAAAGGCUAGGGAGUACCAUAGCCUUGGAAGGACCUUCUUUCAUCUGAGAAAUAAAAUUCACCUUUAUAAUCUCCUCUCCUAAUUCUACCUUACCCGAACUGACAUUAAAGUGGUGAAGCCCUUGAGUGCUUUGAUACAGAGUUGCAUCAACUUAAAUGGAAUUAAUUCUCUACCAUCACUUGCAUUAAGUAGGAGGAAUUCAACCAACCUUUGAACUUGAAGAGUGUAAUCAACAAGUUGGAAACACAGCGAUAGUUUCUCCAAGAUCUUCA
This 451-nucleotide long non-coding RNA is filed under the name Mus spicilegus (steppe mouse). RNAcentral describes it as "lncRNA (ENSMSIG00000014207.1)". Lineage: Eukaryota; Metazoa; Chordata; Mammalia; Rodentia; Muridae. The record is from RNAcentral.